GGUCCCGUAGCUUAACUGAAUAGAGCAUCUGACUACGGAUCAGAAGGCUGUGGGUUUGAAUCCCGCCGGGAUCA
Molecule: transfer RNA, 74 nt
Filed under: Bacteroidales bacterium
Lineage: Bacteria; Pseudomonadati; Bacteroidota; Bacteroidia; Bacteroidales
Description: tRNA-Arg
Rfam family: tRNA
About the family: Transfer RNA (tRNA) molecules are approximately 80 nucleotides in length. Their secondary structure includes four short double-helical elements and three loops (D, anti-codon, and T loops).
Source: RNAcentral